GUGCGUGUGUUGCACUCUGGUCCAUGUGGAUUGGGUUUUUCAGUGCUCUGCAGUAAAUGUUAUCUGUUCUGGCAGGCAGUCCAUGUCAAAUAGUACGAGGGUGAGGAGGGCGACGAAGCAUGAGACGAGUCACGCUCUGUCCACUGUCAACCCAUUUCAGGUCACCCUCUUUCCCCCAGUGGCCUGCUGGGUUUCUCUGAUCAUGGACCACAGGACGGCCAUGUUAGAUCUGUUUUCCUUAGUGCGAUUGCAGACUCUUCUAGGAUUAGUAAUUGGGCAAGGGCAUUCAGAGGCACAGAUUCGUCAGCGCUGUCAUCUGGGAGAGUUCUCUGUUUUAAAGUUUCCUUGUACAUCAUAUGUCAGAAGAAGAUUAACUUGAUUGGAUUCCAAAGAGAGAAGUUGUAGAGUUGAAAAUGAAACCAAACAAUAUGCACUGUUAUAUUUUAUCACCCAAGUUAUUGAUGCAACGACUGAAGUUACAGAAGAUGUGAGUUGCAUACAAAGUAGGAAAAAUCAUAAAAAAUUCCUAUCUUUCAAUAUUUAUGCACUGAAUUAAAAAAAUUAAACUUUCUGAUUUGGAUUCUCAUUGGCAAAGUGUGAUUAAUUUCUACACACCUGCUGCCAACUAGAGACUGAUAUGAAUAAACAAAAAUUUGUGUUCAAAAAUUCAGAGUAAACUACUGAUUUGUAUCACACGGCAACCUUUUCCCUACAGAGUCACGCCAAAAUGAUGGGCAUGGCUUUCAUCGGAUCAUUUAGUGCUCAUUGAUCUCAUGAUUAUCAUGCUAACUGAGCUGUCAGCUUUGGCAUCUGGCAUCACUGAUUCAGGCAAGGGGAGAGAAACUAGGAGGCAGGUCUACUUAUCAUGCAUGGCCACACAAUCUCUAUUCUCUUUCUCUGGACUAGCCGGCUUAAUUAUGUGCUGAAACAAGUCUUCAAAGAAGCUCCUUUCACAAAGUAAUAUAUAUACCUGUCCAGUCUUAUUCAGUUCAAACAGGACGACCAAUAGUAAUAGUACAGCUUGUACAGACACAACCAAACUGUGAUUUGCAUGUAAUUAAUUUAACUAUUAAACAUCAGAAAUACUGAUGUUAAACAAGUUAUUCAUAUUUUAUUGCUGCACAACGCAGGUUAGCUGGCACAUCUAUGAUGUUAUGCAGCCACCCGCCACUAGUUGGAGCUGCAACACUAUCAGACAGUAGGCACCCCCUAGUGGUGGACAUAUGACAUGUCAAAAAAACAUUUUAGGUUGGCAUGAUUUUGAUCUAGGUAAUGAAAAUAAGGUUGUACCACUUGACAGUAGCAAUAUGUAACCAGAUUCAGCACAGGCAUGUGGACGUUAAUCUGCAAAGAAAGAAGACUGCUGGUGCUAGCACUGCUAACGUUAGCCACAUUCAGCAAACGAGUGUGACUUCCUGCAGGUGGGAUCCGCUGAGUGUGAAAAGAUGCAGCAGUUCAUCAGAGCAAAAUGUGCUUCCACUCAAUUUCAUUCACGCCAAAGUCAGAGGAAUAUUUUGCACCCAAACACACAAUGGCAAGAUGCAAAAUCAUAACAUCCAGACUGGAGCAUAACAAGUGUUUUCUUACUUUUAGACUAGUCAGUUAGUUGAAAUUUAAAUUUACCUUUAAUCAACGGGGAAAUUAAUUUCAAGGAACAUCAAACCAAAGCAGACAGCCACACAUACAGUUCAGAUAAAGAGGCUCCAUUUAUUUGCAUCAUGUCACCGUUGUUUACUGCAAAACCAUGUGAUGGAUUAGUGUAUCAGAGGCACGAUCUACAAAAAUGAAUUGAAAGAAAAAGCAUUAGAUAUGAUUUUUAGAGCAUAAACAACAGAGUGAUUGUUCUGUCAAACUGUCAAACGUGCCUUGAAUCAGACCAGAAUCAGAUGAAGAGAGACACUGUUUUGAAUGUCACCACCGCCAGCGGUUUAUUGACACCAGGGUUUCUUUAAGGAUAGGUGCAAGUGUUUUUGUGGAGCGCCUUAAGGUGAAGGAACAUAGAUGAACUUUUAGGUGACAUAUCAGAAUGAAUGUAAAUCAACUGUACGAGUUCUAUGCACUGACAAAAACAAAAACAAACAAAAAAUGGGAGAGGAGUCUUGAUCUCAAAUGAAAAGGUUCAAAUGACAAAACCUGUCAGAAAAUAUUCAGCACUGAGCUAAUAAAACAGAUGACUUGAUAUUUCUCUGUACGUUCAACCCUGGAUGUAGUUAUGAAUUCUACCGAUAUCAGUUGCCAGUAUUAUUGCCUGAUAUUGAUCUGUCACAGAUAUGUUGGUCUGACACACAUCAAUAUGAAAACUUUGUUUUACACAACAUAAUACACAAAAACGUGUCUUCUGUAACUGAGAAACAGAGCAGCUCCUGCAGCUCUUCUCAGCACUGUCUGCAGCACAUGUAGCAGAGUACGUAUCACAGUACUACUGUGGUGCAGAGUCAAGCUUUGUCUUCAUGGGGAGUUGCUAAUUAGUUUGUGUAAUACACUGCUGGAAAUUUACUAAACAACAACCCCAUCCUUUUCCCUUUUCAUUAUAACUUUAACAUGCUAUGACUAAACAAUAUUGGCUGAUAUAUUUAUAUGUUCUUCUCCCAGUUUUCCUAAAUUGGUACCUGUUCCAAAAAUCCAGUAUCAGUUGGGCUCUAGUAGUUACAACUAUCAACUCGGAUAAAUUAUUUGUAAAUCUUCCAUUCUGUACACCCCAGUCAUGAAUACAUGAACUUAUUUUUGUUAGGGAUUAAUAAUAAUAGCUGACAAGGAUAAGAUGCAACUAAUGGAAACUAGAUAACAAUUAAAGAAUCUACUAAUCUAGCUACAUAGAUAUUCAAGUACUGGAUUAGCCAGUAAGCCAGCUAGCUGAUGUUACCUAAAGAAACUUAAACUGACCUAACAUUAGCAGCUAAUGUGACCAGCUAGCUUAGCAAAAUUAGGCUGUGUUCACAAGCCUCUUUCUGACAGUAGCCAGAAACACUUAGGACUACUCCAGUUUUACUCCACAAAUGAACAAAGGUGAUACAACACAUUUAUUACAUCAUAUCUGUACAAGUUAAGGUCCACAUACAUUUUCAUUAAAUCUGAAACAUCCUGUUUGGUGAAAUGAAUAAACUUUCACCUAAAUGUACGAUAAGCGUUGUCACAUUUCUUUCACAAAUAUGGUGAAGAUACUGAUCAAAUUAAAAGUUCCUUCAAAUGAUUUCAAACCGUCCAACCACCUCUACCGUCCCCUGAAAACCCUGGAUACUAACUUGGGCAAUCUGAGAUUUAUUUUGCUGUAAAUCUGCAUCACAGUACAGUAUUGAAAAAAAAAUACUGCAUCUUUCCUGGUCAUGCACAAAGAGCUGGCAUCAUAAAUCUUUAAGGCAAAAAUCGUUUCAGGAAUCUCAGUUUCAACUGAUAUUCUAAUCAAAACCCUUUUAGUUUGAUUAGAGCAUCGAAAACAUUGCAGGUGUGAUAUUAGUUCAGCAAAUAAAAACAAACCCAUUCACUCUGAGAAGUGUGUUGGAGUGUGAUUUAAUUCACCACUGAGGACAUUUUUGGCUUUUGAAUACAACAAUUAAACUACUCCAAGCCUGCAAAAUGUACAAUUAAAGUACAAAUUUGUAUUAAAAAGGCAAAUCAUGUAAAACUACUGUCAUGAUCCUACAAUAGUCCUUGUAAUAAAAGAAACCGGGGGCUGUUAAAUCGUUGGUAAUUACAAACAGAACUCAGCUGAGUUGGGUAAUUUCUUAAUAGCUUUUUAAUAGAAUCACUAUUUAAGCACAUAUAGAUUUAUUCAGUUAAUUCUAUUGUCAGAAAGUAGUUUCCAGCUUCUAAACUAUCAGCAAUAGAGCCUAACUAAUCAAGAAUACAGCAUACAGCAGCACAGCUCAAGAUAUCUGUUUAAUUUCCUGCCUCAGUAAGACAUAGAUAUAGAAAAAGCCUGAAAUUCAGAGCUCAGCAGGUGCACUGACCCAGAGCAAAGCUGCAGGUAACAGAUAGGAUUUAUUGAUCUGGGAUAUAUCUCUAUUAGCCACGUCCAAGGUCAUUGAACCUAGUAUCUACCUGCAAAGAGCUGUCAGUCUUUGCUGAGCUUAAUAAAUGACACUCUGUCCAUGUGGGCCUUGCAGAACGUGACGGAUUGUUGUAACAGUUCCUGACACCGUGUACAUAUAAGCAUCAGUAUUCUGAUCAGGGGUUGAGCACAACACACGGCUCGUGUUUUUUACCCCCAUGACACAGCAAACACUUUUGUUAUUCAGUGUGGCACAACAGCAUGGUGUCCCCCUCCCUUGCUCACAUCAGAAUCUGUCCCGCUGACACUGAUCAAUGACGGUGGCAAUGCAGAAGAUGGAGAGAACAACAGUGCUAUUGACAGCAACGAUGGAUUUUACAGGAAGCCAGGCAGUGCAGCCACAUAGUGACUGACUGUGUAGGAAAGUUGUCAAAGCAAAUGACUUAUUUCAUCCAUUUCUAAUUUUCCCUCCACCCACCGCUCUUCCUUUCGCUGCGAUAAGCCGUAAUGCACAAGUGCAGUGCUUCAGCAUCAUAAAAGGAGAAAAUAAUUGCAACCGCCAACAAUCAUAUAUUGUGUGGCAUUGUGUCUCGAAAUUAAAAAUAUUCUGGAGUCCGGCGACAGUGAACAACAGUCUGCUUCCAUUACUGUAAAUAACUGCAGACAUGCAUGUAAUGAGGGCGUAAGCAAUAUUUGUGCGGCAAAGAUUAGUCUUGUGAAAACUCACACACAAAGCUGCAUUUAUCAGUCGAAGCUUUUUAAAAUCCAGCAAAGGAACCCAGCAGCCAGUGAGACAUGAAUUUUAAAUACAACCAUUUAUCCACAGAGAAUAAAUUUGACACCAGUUAAUGGCAUUAAGAGAAAUCUGGUAUGGACUACCUGAAUACCUGAGCUGAUAGAGAGGUAGACCAUUAAACUUUGUGAACUUAAUGGAUUAUUAUUUGAAUAAAGCCACUGAGACAGAUGGGACACAUAGAAUCUGUAAGUAAUAGCAUCUCAAAUCCGUGACAAAAACAAAAUUAAAUAAAUAAAAAAAAUAUGGUGACUGGCAUUGGUGUCAUGAUCAUAAAUUUAAAAGGCAAUUUCUCACAAACAAAUUGUGUCUAUUUAGCAUUCAUUCAAAGAGGUCUUUGGUAUAUUUAUAAAAAGAAACAUGGUAGAAAAUGUGACAUAGUGUCCUCAUUAAUCUCACCAAGGUUCUUGAUAAAAAAGGAAAUUAGUAAAAGCAAGAAGGCCACCAACUGAUUACAAAAUUAAUUAAGUACAUAGAUUAUGUGUUGCAGCAAUAAACAGCUUAAGAUUGUAUUCAGAAACGCUGAGUCUGCAUAUAUCAGACUGGUCAUUGUUAUGGUUUCUCAGGGACAAAGGCUGGAUGAUAUUGAAUAUCAGUAGUGUACUGCCUCUGGAUGCUGCUGGAAAGACUCAGACUGCAAAUAAUGCAGUUUAAACGUUUCACUGGCCAGCAGAGAGGCUCAACAGAUGUUGUCUGGCUAAUGCAGUUGCUUCUGGUUAUUGUUUUGACACGUCUCUCUCCAUGAUUCACAAUUUUACAUAUCAACUUAAGAUUAAAGUAGGCACCCAAGGUUCUUCUGCAAUCGCCACAAUAUUGGACCACGCAGCUAAAAUGAAAUUAUUAAACCCUCCAACAAACCCCAGUGCAUCUUCUUCCACUUAAUUGCCUUUUGCAAGAGCAAACAAACCUGUUGGACGAUGCUGUUGUUGUAGAAUUCAUGUCUGCAUAAACAUGCCUCCAGUGUGUCUGAAGGAGCACAUGCAGGUAUAUACGUACAAUCAGUGUCUGCCAGAGUGGCUGGAGUUCUGCCUGGGAGCAAAGUUAAGAGCAGUGUCUUCAUUGCUGGAUUUUCCUUAUGUACACUGUGAGUUCAAAGCAUGCAAAUGAUAUGGCUGGACUUGGAAUCUAUUAAGUAAAUUGACCAGGAGCAACCCAGAAUGAUGGGAUGAAUAUAAAUCACUCGUGGCUCUGACUCCUGGGAUCGUCUGUGCAGGUGAAAAAGCUUCACCUCUUGAUGGCGAGUGAAUGCACAGUGCGGACUACUCAGGAAAAUAGAAAUGUACACUGAGGAUGAAUGAUUAAAGUUUCAAAAGGCAGAGUUCAAAAUAUCAUGUGUCUUAGAGGACCAAAGUCUUAUCUUUACAGAAUCCACUCUUUAAAGCUGAACUGGGUGUUAUUAUUCAUAUUAAAAACUCAUAUAAGAAGUUAUUAGCUCGUACAAGGGUGACAUUUAAACACAAUUUUAUUGCAAAAGCUGCAAAUGGUUGAGCUAAGGUAGUCCGAAUGGUGAACGGUUUGGAAUCAUAGCUGACAGGUUGCAGAGGGAAGGCUGAGCUGAAUAAAUGUGGCAGGACUUGAGCAGAACUAGCAGGCAGGUUACACAGAGCAACUGGGGUCCUGAUACAGGGAGAGUGAGGUUAACAGGCAGCAAAAACACAAAGAGCAACAGGUUACUGAAACUGAGUCGGCUUUAGCAGCACAUGACAGACUGAGCGAUGUGGUGGAGACUGACAUGCAGCACUGAGGGUGAAGUAUUGCAGGGAGCCAGAUGAAUUGAUGAGGACCAGGAGCAGGAGUGUCAGCAGAUUAGCAGCUGGGAGGCCGAAGGAAACCACGCCCACACACACACAAUCACACACUGCACUGACUACAGUCACUCAUAGGUACAAGCAGUUCAGUCACGACACUGGAUCUUUUCAGCUGCAUCACAGUGGAUUCUUCUUUCUCAAAAGCACUGCAGCACUUUGUGUGGUACGAUUGAGGCAAAGUUCUGCUUCUGUAUUCCACAUCAGCACCCUCCUGCUACCAUAAUUCAUUUCUUUUGUGCACAGAGUGCAUCUAGUCCAUCCUUCCUUUUUAACUUUUUGAAAAAAAAAUCAGUGGCAACAUACGCUUUACUGACUUUACCUUAGUUGUAGCAUCUAACUUGAGCCUUAACCCUUUUUUUUUUUUUUUUUUUUAUUGAAUGUUCAUAAUAACAUUACAUUUAUUAUGCCAGGGGUUUUUACUUAAAACAAAACAGUGAAAAACAAUAAUGUUCAACAAAUAAAUAAAAAUAAUAUAAAGACAAUAAAAAAUACAAUCAGCAGUUAUAUUGCAUGAAACCUUCCAAUGUUUUCACAGCUUUGGGAUUUGAAGAGUAUUGAAUAGAAUCUUUGUACUGUGCCAGUUCAAGCAAGUAUAGUUUAAAAAGGGGUUUUUUAGCAGUGAAUUUACACUUAUGAAUAUGAAAUUUUGCAAAGAUUAGUAAUAAGUUAAUCAUGUAAUAUUCCUUUGUUUUGGGGCUACUUAUGUUAUAAAAAACAAAAAGCACAUUGGGAUAGGUAAGAGAAAAGUUAAUGAAGAUAUUGGUCCGGACAUAGAGAAUGAAGUCUUUCCAAAAUUUCACAGUAAAGGGGCAUUUCCAGAACAGAUGUAUGACAGUCUCAAAGUCAUGAGUACAGAAAGAGCAAUUGUAGUCUGUGUCCUUGUGUAAGGAUUGCUUGGCUGGGUAGCAUCUGUGGAGCAAUUUGAAACACACAUCCCGUAGUUUGUUCGUAAUGAGAUAUUUAGAGGGAGCCUUAACCCUUUAGAACCCAGCGUAGCGCCGGCGCUACGUUUUGCAUAUUGAUUUUUGAUUGGCUGUAGAUUUUAAACCAGAUAGGAUAGAUCGAUAAUUCUUUUUGCAUAUAAAAUCUGGGGAGUUACACUAACAUUUCACACAUUCACCGGGUCUCAGGGUGCUUUUUCGUUGCAGUGAUGGCUUAAAUAAAAAUACACAAUAAAGCGCACACAACAAAACUCUUUAUAAACCAGACCACCGGUAUUUGGAGGACUUCUUACGUUGAAAUAAGCGUGAUCACGUUGUGGCCAUGACCUGUCACAUGGUUCUUAUGUGUCCAUACCCGAGAGGCUCCCGUCCCCAUCAACAGGAAGUGACGUUGUUGCCGGGAGUUGUAGUUUUUCAGCCGCCAACUACAACUGUAGUUUUCGGCUGUAGCCUGCACAGAUACAAGCUCUCACUCAUUUCAGUCCCACUUUUUUUUUUUUUUUUUUUUUUUUACAAAAAAAUUCAGACACACAGCCCACACACACACCAGACAUCCACCACGCUCCGUGUACGGAUCUGGUAAUUGGAUUUUCCGUUCUGAAACGGGUAUUGAAAAACAAAAAACGAGUGGUUAUUUGAUUUUCGUUUAAAAAUACAAAAAAUAAAAUUGAAAUACAAGGCGUUUUUCCUUUUCAUGAUCAAAAAGGGAUAUACGAUUUUUUUUAAAUGCUUUGAUUUUUGUUUUAUAUUUAGAAUAACAAGAAAGUAAAAUCAGUAAGAGACAGAAACGAAAAAAAGUCAGUUUUUUCAUUUUCUGAGACCGGAAGUGGUCAUCAGCAAGUGUGGAGCCAAACAGAGUACGGUGCACAGACUGUAUAUACAUUUUUUUUCGUGUGUUUUCAUGGUCAAAAUGAGAGAUCAGGUGGCCGAUCUUAAAAUAAAUCAAUAUUGAUUUUUUUUAUAGAGCGUUAAAGUUUUGCGAAGCCAGGGGGCGGGACUACUUGAUUGACAGUCCGGUCUGGAAUGAUUGACAGGUCCUAUGGAGGAGGCAGCAGAGACUCUGCUCUCCUCGUUUGGAUUAAUUCUGAUAUAAUAACUGUUGGUUUAUUUAUCGUGGAGCAGCACAACAUUUUCCACAGACAGUUUUCCUGCCCGUUGGCUUGUUUUAACCAGUUUUCUACCUUCGGCUGAUUCUACCAGCAGACACUGAAAGGACUCUGAUAGUUCGAGUGAAAGUAGCAGUUCCUCCUUAAGGUCAGAGAUUGCAGCAUCUGAGGGCCUCUUCAAAAGAAGACAUAGUUGAUGAAGGCGUUCUGGAGCAGGACCAGAAAGACCACGACCAAGCAGCCUUGAGAUCUUAAGCAGCGUCUCCCUCGGGUCCCUCUCUAUCUCCCCACACAUCCACCAAGCACUGGAACACAUCUCCAAAGUUCUGCCGGGCCAGCUCAGCUUCCCCUCAGAAGAAGUGCCGCCACCUGCCAGAUGAAGGAGCCUUUUGAGAGGCAGCUGGCAUCGUGAUUGGACUGUACUUUGGUCUGUUCCAGUCCAGCUUCAGCUCCAGAGACGGCAGGCGGGACGAGUCAACGGUGGCCGGAUGGACGAAGGCAUGAAGCUGAGUACAAUCUAGAAAACAACAGAGGAGGAGUGCAGCAGCCCAGAGCCAGAACAAACAGGGUAGCAUCGUAUGUCUCUUAGAAAACAUCAUAGUAGAGCCUUUGGGAUGAAAAAACGCAAUCAUAUACAUCGUAGAUUGUACAAAUAACAAGUCAAAGGAAAGAGACAUACAUUGUAAAAUUGUAGUAAUUGUGGGCUGACUGAUUUACUGAUUAUCAGUAUUUUAUUUUUUACUGAUUUACGGUCAUAAAUAAAUUUUAAAAUGGCGCUACUUUGGCUCUGAACCUUUAUCUACCUGUGGUCGCUCUGUCUUCUGGAGUAAUUUGAUUAGUUAUACGUCAGGAAUAAAACUCCUUUAACUUAACAUCUGUAAACAAAACAAAAAUGUAUCAACAAAGUUUUCUGUUAGAGUUUGUGUUCUUCUAAGUUUAACUCCAAGAUUUUAAAUACUUUCAUUUACUGCAAAUGAAUAUCUACUCCACAUGUCUCACUAAUUAUCAUUAUCAGCCUUAAAAACCCACAAAACACCCCUCUAUACUGGACCACACUUAGUACAGUCCUGUUCCCCCUACUAUAAAUCUGCUUGGAAUCUUCCACUUCCUGUUUGUCAAAGUGGCCUUCUACCUGGACAGGUUUUGUUGGAGCUCAUGCAACAAACAUUUUGGGUAACUGCACUUUAAUAUGGAUGGAUGACACUGAAUUAGAGUCUGUUUUAAUGAGACUGAGUUAAGAUGUGUAGCUCUGUCAUUAAAUAGGAAAUUAUUUCUCAGAAUUCACAGAGAAAAGUCUGAAAUGUUUGCUAGGUUAGCGUCCCACAUGUUCUUUGGCUCAGCUAAAGCUAACUCUCUCCAACUUCUGGAUCUCUUGAGUUGCUUGUUGUUAAAAUAUCUUGCUAGAUUUGCUGAAGCUCAGAAAGUCUGAGAUGUUUGUUCAAAAUAAGCUAAUUCUCAAGGCUGAUCUGAACUGUCCUCUUUUGUUUGAACUUUCCCUAAACUUAGGAGUUAAUGACAGAGCAGCACAUCCAGACUCAGUCUCAUUUAUGUAGAGAUUAAACUUCAGUGUCAUUCAUUGAUGUUAAAGUGCAGUUUUUCAAAUGUUUGUUGCACA
Amphiprion ocellaris (clown anemonefish) is the source of this 10251-nucleotide long non-coding RNA. RefSeq lists it as uncharacterized. The transcript has 3 exons. The record is from RefSeq and is a predicted model, not a curated record. Lineage: Eukaryota; Metazoa; Chordata; Actinopteri; Pomacentridae.